CAGUGACCUUCAGGGAUGUAGCUAUAGACUUUUCCAGGGAAGAGUGGGCCUUGCUGGAUGCAACCCAGAGAAAGCUGUUCAGAGAUGUUAUUCUGGAGAAUAUCAAUCAUCUGGUGACUGUGGGGUAUAAGCUCUGCAAAUUGGAAGCAGUUUCCCAGUUGGAACAAGGAUAGAAACUGUGGAGAGAAAGAUUAGGAUUUCUCCAAGGACAGAGUCCAGGCAGGGAAAUGACCAUAAAAAGGAAAAAAUGAUAAUCAUACAACAUAUCUGCAAGAAAGAGAC
Molecule: long non-coding RNA, 282 nt
Organism: Choloepus didactylus (southern two-toed sloth)
Lineage: Eukaryota; Metazoa; Chordata; Mammalia; Pilosa; Megalonychidae
Exons: 3
Source: RefSeq, a predicted model, not a curated record